GAAAAUAAUAGGCCCUGAAAUUUGUAUUUAAACCAUCCACCAUUUCCUAUUUCUGUCCAGUUUUACAGCUGUGAUUCACAGUCUGCCAUAAUUUCUUCUGGAAGAGUGUGAUUGUAAUGAACUCAUAGUGAGGGAGUGGGAAGUUAUAUAAAUAUAUAUUUUAAAUUGUAUUAACUUCUCCUAUAUAUACAUUUGGCUGGAUCUUUAGCUUCUUUUCAUUACAGAAGAACAAAGGGAAUGGUUUAAUUUUCAGCUCUAGUGGACUUCCAUUUCAAGAAUUCAUAGUGUCUGUUUCUAAGGUUACCACCUAAGGGUUGUAUAUUAAUCAACUCUAUACUGAUGGAAUAAAGCAAUAUCAAUGGAGAUUAUCUUCUCUUCAGGGAGAAGACACACUGAUGUAGCAGCUAAAUUGCAUUCCUUUGCUGUUACACUGUAGUUUAGUUGUAGGAUAGGCAUAAUUAUUUACCUGCCUUACAGUUCUCUCUCUCUCUCUCUCUCUCUCUCUCUCUCUCUCUGUGUGUGUGUGUGUGUGUGUGUUGGGAGAGAUUAUGCCCAAACAAAUUUUGAGGUAAUAUUUUAUUUAUAACAACCUGAAACUCCAUUUAUUCCUGAAACCAGAAGACUGAUCUGCUGUCUCUCUUGAGCUUCAUUUGUGAUCUAGGUAGGUGUAACAAGGUGAGGGUUUUGUCACACUGAGUUAAAAUUGGCUGUACACAGCUGUCAAUUCUCAGUUACCUCAUGGCAACUGUGUGUGGGUGGGUGGCUGUCUGACUGGCAACUGGACAGAAAACAUCAAAAUGUUAUAAUAAGCCAAACAGGGAAGUGCAAACUUUGUGUGGAACAUCAACAAUCAUGAACCGAACAUGCAUAAAUAAGCCACCAUUGUAUGACAGCUACAUUUUAUUCCUUUAAAAAGAAAACAAGCUUUGGUUAAGCAUGUCAAGGUAUAAAUGUGUUUUAUAUGUUGGGAUUUAUGUAAGUCUCAUGUCUGUGUAAAAAAGGCUUUGACUUGUAGGCUGAAAUCCAGUUGGUGCAACUCUGCCAAAGAGAAUGACAUACUCCAGCAGGGAUUCUUUAUCAACAUUGUGCUUUAGAAGAAAUCAGCGUUAAGGACCCAUCACACACAGAGACAUCUGUAGGAUAGUUCCAAAAAGCCCUCAGAUUCUCUCCAGAAAAUGACAGAAGAGUGAUUUUGUGUUUAAACUUGGACGGGACAAUUUAUUAAAUGCAAACAUAUUUCUUUUAUUUCAGUACAAAUAAAUAUGAUUACAGAAUCCCUACCUGCA
Molecule: long non-coding RNA, 1286 nt
Filed under: Pogona vitticeps (central bearded dragon)
Lineage: Eukaryota; Metazoa; Chordata; Lepidosauria; Squamata; Agamidae
Description: lncRNA (ENSPVIG00000014553.1)
Source: RNAcentral